Non-coding RNA from Pristis pectinata (smalltooth sawfish), 74 nucleotides. The record is from the annotation of a RefSeq genome assembly. NCBI's taxonomy places the organism in Eukaryota, Metazoa, Chordata, Chondrichthyes, Rhinopristiformes, Pristidae.
GUCAGGAUGGCUGAGUGGUCCAAGGCGCCAGACUUAAUGCGCUGGAGGCGUGGGUUCGAAUCCCACUUCUGACA